GAUGAAGAACGUAGCGAAAUGCGAUAGGUAAUGUGAAUUGCAGAAUUCAGUGAAUCAUCGAAUCUUUGAACGCACAUUGCGCCCGCCAGUAUUCUGGCGGGCAUGCCUGUUCGAGCGUCAUUACAACCCUCAGGCCCCCGGGCCUGGCGUUGGGGAUCGGCGGAAGCCCCCUGUGGGCACACGCCGUCCCUCAAAUACAGUGGCGGUCCCGCCGCAGCUUCCAUUGCGUAGUAGCUAACACCUCGCAACUGGAGAGCGGCGCGGCCAUGCCGUAAAACACCCAACUUCUGAAUGUUGACCUCGAAUCAGGUAGGAAUACCCGCUGAACUUAAGCAUAUCAAUAAGCGGAGGA
RNAcentral lists this unclassified non-coding RNA (352 nucleotides) under soil metagenome. RNAcentral's name for it is "partial contains 5.8S ribosomal RNA, internal transcribed spacer 2, and large subunit ribosomal RNA". The stretch from base 1 to 120 matches the Rfam family "5.8S ribosomal RNA", at positions 35 to 154 of the family's 154-position model. The record is from RNAcentral.